Molecule: microRNA precursor, 152 nt
Organism: Arabidopsis lyrata subsp. lyrata
Lineage: Eukaryota; Viridiplantae; Streptophyta; Magnoliopsida; Brassicales; Brassicaceae
Rfam family: MIR4228 microRNA precursor family
Source: Rfam
CGGCGUGUUGUUUUAACCUAAAAGCCUUGAACGCUGUCGUUUCGCCGUCGACAACAAUCACACGCGCACACUUCCACCAUUAUCAUCUAUCCACCACACAGGUUCGUCGGAUGCGAAACGGUGGUGUUCAGGGCUUUUUUAAGGUUGCUGGA